This 328-nucleotide unclassified non-coding RNA is filed under the name soil metagenome. Its description in RNAcentral is "partial contains 5.8S ribosomal RNA, internal transcribed spacer 2, and large subunit ribosomal RNA". The stretch from base 1 to 120 matches the Rfam family "5.8S ribosomal RNA", at positions 35 to 154 of the family's 154-position model. The record is from RNAcentral.
GAUGAAGAACGCAGCGAAAUGCGAUAAGUAAUGUGAAUUGCAGAAUUCAGUGAAUCAUCGAAUCUUUGAACGCACAUUGCGCCCCUUGGUAUUCCGAGGGGCAUGCCUGUUCGAGCGUCAUUAUAACCCUCAAGCUCAGCUUGGUGUUGGGGCCUGCUGCACUGGCAGCCCUUAAAAUCAGUGGCGGCGCCAUCUGGCUCUAAGCGUAGUAAUUCUUCUCGCUAUGGAGUCCUGGUGGAUGCUUGCCAUCAACCCCCAAUUUUUCUAUGGUUGACCUCGGAUCAGGUAGGGAUACCCGCUGAACUUAAGCAUAUCAAUAAGCGGAUGA